CGCUAGCUACAGGCUUAACACAUGCAAGUCGAGGGGCAGCAUGAACUUAGCUUGCUAAGUUUGAUGGCGACCGGCGCACGGGUGAGUAACACGUAUCCAACCUGCCGAUGACUCGGGGAUAGCCUUUCGAAAGAAAGAUUAAUACCCGAUGGCAUAGUUCUUCCGCAUGGUAGAACUAUUAAAGAAUUUCGGUCAUCGAUGGGGAUGCGUUCCAUUAGGUUGUUGGCGGGGUAACGGCCCACCAAGCCUUCGAUGGAUAGGGGUUCUGAGAGGAAGGUCCCCCACAUUGGAACUGAGACACGGUCCAAACUCCUACGGGAGGCAGCAGUGAGGAAUAUUGGUCAAUGGACGAGAGUCUGAACCAGCCAAGUAGCGUGAAGGAUGACUGCCCUAUGGGUUGUAAACUUCUUUUAUACGGGAAUAAAGUGAGGCACGUGUGCCUUUUUGUAUGUACCGUAUGAAUAAGGAUCGGCUAACUCCGUGCCAGCAGCCGCGGUAAUACGGAGGAUCCGAGCGUUAUCCGGAUUUAUUGGGUUUAAAGGGAGCGUAGGCGGACGCUUAAGUCAGUUGUGAAAGUUUGCGGCUCAACCGUAAAAUUGCAGUUGAUACUGGGUGUCUUGAGUACAGUAGAGGCAGGCGGAAUUCGUGGUGUAGCGGUGAAAUGCUUAGAUAUCACGAAGAACUCCGAUUGCGAAGGCAGCCUGCUGGACUGUAACUGACGCUGAUGCUCGAAAGUGUGGGUAUCAAACAGGAUUAGAUAUCCUGGUAGUCCACACAGUAAACGAUGAAUACUCGCUGUUUGCGAUAUACAGUAAGCGGCCAAGCGAAAGCGUUAAGUAUUCCACCUGGGGAGUACGCCGGCAACGGUGAAACUCAAAGGAAUUGACGGGGGCCCGCACAAGCGGAGGAACAUGUGGUUUAAUUCGAUGAUACGCGAGGAACCUUACCCGGGCUUGAAUUGCAACUGAAUGAUGUGGAGACAUGUCAGCCGCAAGGCAGUUGUGAAGGUGCUGCAUGGUUGUCGUCAGCUCGUGCCGUGAGGUGUCGGCUUAAGUGCCAUAACGAGCGCAACCCUUAUCGAUAGUUACCAUCAGGUUAUGCUGGGGACUCUGUCGAGACUGCCGUCGUAAGAUGUGAGGAAGGUGGGGAUGACGUCAAAUCAGCACGGCCCUUACGUCCGGGGCUACACACGUGUUACAAUGGGGGGUACAGAAGGCAGCUACACGGCGACAGGAUGCUAAUCCCAAAAACCUCUCUCAGUUCGGAUCGAAGUCUGCAACCCGACUUCGUGAAGCUGGAUUCGCUAGUAAUCGCGCAUCAGCCAUGGCGCGGUGAAUACGUUCCCGGGCCUUGUACACACCGCCCGUCAAGCCAUGAAAGCCGGGGGUACCUGAAGUACGUAACCGCAAGGAGCGUCCUAGGGUAAAACUGGUAAUUG
This 1438-nucleotide ribosomal RNA is filed under the name uncultured organism. Its description in RNAcentral is "SSU rRNA". It matches the Rfam family "Bacterial small subunit ribosomal RNA". The record is from RNAcentral.